CCUACGGGAGGCAGCAGUAGGGAAUAUUGCUCAAUGGGGGAAACCCUGAAGCAGCAACGCCGCGUGGAGGAUGAAGGUUUUCGGAUUGUAAACUCCUUUUGUUAGAGAAGAUAAUGACGGUAUCUAACGAAUAAGCACCGGCUAACUCCGUGCCAGCAGCCGCGGUAAUACGGAGGGUGCAAGCGUUACUCGGAAUCACUGGGCGUAAAGGGCGCGUAGGCGGGAUAGCAAGUCAGAUGUGAAAUCCUAUGGCUUAACCAUAGAACUACCUUUGAAACUGUUAGUCUAGAGUAUGGGAGAGGUAGGUGGAAUUCUUGGUGUAGGCGUAAAAUCCGUAGAGAUCAAGAGGAAUACUCAUUGCGAAGGCGACCUGCUAGAACAUAACUGACGUUGAUGCGCGAAAGCGUGGGGAGCAAACAGGAUUAGAUACCCUUGUAGUC
RNAcentral lists this ribosomal RNA (440 nucleotides) under uncultured bacterium. RNAcentral's name for it is "partial 16S ribosomal RNA". It matches the Rfam family "Bacterial small subunit ribosomal RNA", at positions 338 to 795 of the family's 1533-position model. The record is from RNAcentral.